UACGGAGGGGGCUAGCGUUGUUCGGAAUUACUGGGCGUAAAGCGCACGUAGGCGGCUUUGUAAGUUAGAGGUGAAAGCCCGGGGCUCAACUCCGGAAUUGCCUUUAAGACUGCAUCGCUAGAACGUCGGAGAGGUAAGUGGAAUUCCGAGUGUAGAGGUGAAAUUCGUAGAUAUUCGGAAGAACACCAGUGGCGAAGGCGACUUACUGGACGACCGUUGACGCUGAGGUGCGAAAGCGUGGGGAGCAAACGGG
Molecule: ribosomal RNA, 253 nt
Filed under: uncultured bacterium
Lineage: Bacteria
Description: partial 16S ribosomal RNA
Rfam family: Bacterial small subunit ribosomal RNA
Source: RNAcentral